CUCGGAUAGAAGCCAUUAACAUUUCCCCGUCAGGUGGUAGCAUUGUGCCAAGCUCCAUUUCUAUUGGAUGACCCUAAUGUCGGGCUUUUAUUCCCAGCAGAUGUCAUUGCAAGAGCUAAACAUUAUCUUUCAUUGAAUUCGGGUGGUUUAGGUGCAUAUAGUGAUUCUCGAGGACUUCCUGGAAUUAGGAAAGAA
Molecule: long non-coding RNA, 195 nt
Organism: Zingiber officinale
Lineage: Eukaryota; Viridiplantae; Streptophyta; Magnoliopsida; Zingiberales; Zingiberaceae
Exons: 3
Source: RefSeq, a predicted model, not a curated record